This 261-nucleotide unclassified non-coding RNA is filed under the name fungal sp. RNAcentral's name for it is "partial internal transcribed spacer region". The stretch from base 1 to 46 matches the Rfam family "Eukaryotic small subunit ribosomal RNA", at positions 1786 to 1831 of the family's 1831-position model. Lineage: Eukaryota; Fungi. The record is from RNAcentral.
AAGUCGUAACAAGGUUUCCGUAGGUGAACCUGCGGAAGGAUCAUUAUUGAAUGAACUUGGGGUUGGUUGUCGCUGGCUGUCUUUGGCAGCAUGUGCACGCCUUCUCCUUUCAUCCACACACCCCUGUGCACUUGUGAGACUGGAGACCGUAAAAAAGUCUUCAGUCUGCUAAAUUCAUAUACAAACUCAUUUAAUUGAACUGAAUGUACUUGAUGUAACACAUCAUUGAACUAAGUUUCAACAACGGAUCUCUUGGCUCUC